RNAcentral lists this ribosomal RNA (253 nucleotides) under uncultured prokaryote. RNAcentral describes it as "partial 16S ribosomal RNA". It matches the Rfam family "Bacterial small subunit ribosomal RNA", at positions 525 to 777 of the family's 1533-position model. The record is from RNAcentral.
ACGUAGGGGGCAAGCGUUGUCCGGAGUUACUGGGCGUAAAGCGCACGCAGGCGGUCCGUUAAGUUUGGAGUGACAGUUGGUGGCUCAACCACCAAAGUGCUUUGAAAACUGACAGACUUGAGGGCUUCAGAGGGACACGGAAUUCCGGGUGGAGUGGUGAAAUGCGUAGAGAUCCGGAGGAACACCAAAGGCGAAGGCAGUGUCCUGGGGAGUACCUGACGCUCAGGUGCGAAAGCCAGGGGAGCGAACGGGA